This is a long non-coding RNA of Mus musculus (house mouse), 254 nucleotides long. RefSeq annotates it as predicted gene, 54142. The record is from RefSeq and is a predicted model, not a curated record. The transcript has 3 exons. Lineage: Eukaryota; Metazoa; Chordata; Mammalia; Rodentia; Muridae.
AGUGACACCAGCUUGAAGCAGCUCUCAGCAUUUGAAUGAGUAAGUGAAGCUCAGGGAGCUAUUUUCACCCCCUUCUACCACACCCAAUGUCCACUGUUCAUCAUUUCGACAUGCAGUCAGCUCCGGAAUACCACGUGGUUGGGACUGGGGAGUGAAUACAGCAGCGAGGACAGGAUGGAAUGUAGCCUUGGUCCUCAGCUGUCAGAAUGGCCAUCAACAAUUGUCCAUACAGGGACCACAGAGGUCACAACACC